CCUGGGGGGCAAGCAGAGGCAGAGUGAAGGCGGAACCCUUCAGGAGGCCGGCGGCAAGGACGAUGAGGGCUCAGUCCCUCAGGAGACCUGCAGUGGCACAGAACCCCCUCAGAAGGCCGGCAGCGGUGAAGGCGGAACCCUUCAGGAGGCCGGCGAAGGCGAGGUAGAGGGCGGGUCCCCUCAAGAGGAAGGCCAGGUAGAGGGCGGGUCCCCUCAGGAGGAAGGCCAGGUAGAGGGCGGGUCCCCUCAGGAGGCAGGCCAGGUAGAGGGCGGGUCCCCUCAGGAGGCAGGCCAGGUAGAGGGCGGGUCCCCUCAGGAGGAGGGCCAGGCAAAGGGCGGGUCCCCUCUGGUGGACAGGGUAGAGGGCGGGUCCCCUCUUGUAGAAGGCCAGGCAGAGGGCGGGUCCCCUCUGGUAGAAGGCCAGGCAGAGGGCGGGUCCCCUCUGGUGGACAGGGUAGAGGGCGGGUCCCCUCUGGUAGAAGGCCAGGCAGAGGGCGGGUCCCCUCUGGUGGAAGGCCAGGUAGAGGGCGGGUCCCCUCUGGUAGAAGGCCAGGCAGAGGGCGGGUCCCCUCUGGUAGAAGGCCAGGUAGAGGGCGGGUCCCCUCUGGUGGACAGGGUAGAGGGCGUGCCUCCCCUGGACGGUCUGGAGGGCGGACCCCCUCCGGUGGAAGCAGAGGCCGGUACCCCUCUGGAAGGAGCAGGGGGCGGGCCCCCUCAGGCAGGAGCGGAGGACGGACCACCUCAAGCAGGCGACCAGGCCGGUACCACUCUGGAAAGCGAGGAGUGGGCUCAGGAACCGGACAGGGCUCGGGGACCGGAGUCAGUGCGGGAGCUGGAGUACCAGGAGGAACCGGGUGGUUCCCCACACCCUCCCAGCGCUCCAUUGUCUUAUUUAUUUUGGCUAGUAAAUCCUCCAACUUACGGCCAAAUUGAGCGUCCGCUGGGUCCCAUCGGGGUGCUG
Long non-coding RNA from Gadus morhua (Atlantic cod), 961 nucleotides. The record is from Ensembl. Lineage: Eukaryota; Metazoa; Chordata; Actinopteri; Gadiformes; Gadidae.